This 67-nucleotide transfer RNA is filed under the name Marmota monax (woodchuck). Its description in RNAcentral is "tRNA.Thr". Lineage: Eukaryota; Metazoa; Chordata; Mammalia; Rodentia; Sciuridae. The record is from RNAcentral.
GGAAGUAGCUCAGUGGUAGAGCACUUGCCUAGUAUGUGCUAGGCCCUGAGUUCAAUCCCCAGCACCA